AAGGGAACAAAACAGCUUUCAAAACAACAUUGUGGAUGGGAGAGAAGCGGGGAGGUACGAAUAAGGGGUCUAGGCUUCACCCUAGGCUGCCAGGAAGGAUCAGUCACUCUCCCCAGUAAAUUAAGGAAAGUCCAGAAAGAAGAGAGAGUGAUUUCGGGAAGCAGUAGGGGUGGACAGAAGAGGUACCCUCCUCCCCCUUGGACUUGGAAAAACAGAGCCAGCACUCUCCUGGCCAUGAGUCAGAAAGUGGAGCUGUAGGGGGUGGCUGCAGAACCACAGGGUACAUUUUUUCACUCUUUCAUUAUGUCACCUUAAAGAAAUUAAGUAAAACUGCCAGUAAGGAAAAAAGAAAGCUAAUAGUGGGGAUAUUGCUCAAAGGCAGAAAAUUAGUUAAACAUUACAUUGGGGUUUCACAACAGGUUGGUGUACUGAUUUUCUCACAGCUCCUUAAUGAGUCUUGGAAAAAAAGAUAUAAUUUUAAUGUGGUCUUGAUUGCUUUAUUCUCAGGUCAGCCUGAGAAUUUUCUCAUGACGUUAAUUAUUCAUUUUUGUAAGAAGCCUGCAUAAAUAAAAGUACAAGUACCGGGUGUCCAGUGUGGCAUUUCAGGAGCUUGGAGAAAGAGGAUAGAGAAGGUGAGAGCUGGGGGAAAAUUGAGAGGUGGCCAGAAAGAGAGGCUUUGGUCAUUUCCAGAGUCAUGGAGUUGCAGAGAACUAGCUUUAGGCAUUGCAUGUAAUUUAAUGUUCUUCAAUGUCCUGUAGCCUAAGACCACCUGGAACACACCUGUAGUCAACAAAGUUAGGCUGAUUAACGCCACAGCAAGGGAAACUGCACGCUGUGGGGAAGCUUGAGGCAUCUCAAAAGGGUGGAUUAAGACAAGGGCACCCAAUAAAGCUUUGGGGGCUGGAGUUAGUCACAGGAUGGUGUUGGCAGGAUUUCAUCAGAUUCUGUAAACUGGGGAGUUUCUGGAAAAGUAAGUGGUCUUAUCUUUGGGAUUCACAAGUCUGUGUGGAGUUACUGACAGGUCAAUUUCUCUAUGGUCUUAUCUGGGAACAAAUGGGCCUGAAAGAGCUGGUGUUUCAAGGUUUGAACUUAGAUCGUCUGUGAUGCCCACCACGGUGUGGUCGGGAGAAAUUGGCCUGCUUCGAAACUGAGGCUUAUGUUUUGAAAAUUGUGGUUUCUGUUUUCAUUCUCGGUCCCUGUCAUCUCUCUGCCAACAUGAACCCCAGUCUGCCAGUCUACCUUUUUCAUUUACUCACUAUUUUUCUAUCCCAUCGUUAUGGUUAUUCUACUGACAUGCUACAUGUAACAUAAAGAGCCCUACAGCUGCAUAACCUCCUGAGAGAGGGCUUCUUUAGUUUGCAAUGGAGAACUGGAGAUGGUGCUCAUUCACAGAUAUCUAACACUCGGUAAGUCAUCUUGUUUGACCACUCCCUCCUCACAGGUCUGUGCCUUAACUGUGCAUGUGAAAUAUUAUAUAUCUUAGAUUUAAGAAACAAUUUGGCUCAACAAAUGACAGUAUCAGGGAGCUAUUAUGAGUUCUAAGAACUACUGUCCUCCUGCUAUAGGUCCAGACAAGACUUUAGCAUGGCAGGCUGCCUCCUAGGGCUGGGUAGUCAAGAAGGGCUGAUAGUGGGUGAGCUAGUCAAGAAGCGCAGCAAAAUGAUGGUGAAAUACCACUUCAUACUUACUAGGAUGGCUACUAUUAAAAAAGAACACACACACAGAAAAUAACAGAUGUGGGCAAGCAUGUGGAGAGAUUGGAACCCUUGGACACUGUUGGUGGGAAUGUAAAAUGGUGCAGCUAUAAUGGAAAACAAUACGGUGGAACUUCUAAAAAAUAAAAAUAGAAUUACCAUAUGAUCCAGUAAUUCCACUCUGGGAUAUACCAGAAUUGAAAGAAUUGAAAGGAAGAUCUUGAAGAGAUAUUUAUAUAACGAUGUUCAUUGCAGCAUUAUUUACCUUAGCCAAAAGGUACAAGCAAAUCAAGUGUUCAUUGAUGCACGAAUAAAAAAGCAAAAUGUGGCAUAUCCAUACAAUGGAAUAUAAUUCAGCUAUAAGAAGGAAUAAAAUGCUGACAUCUGUUAUAACAUGGCUGGACCUUGAUGACAUUAUGCCAAGUGAAAGUAGCCAGACAUAAAAGACUACAUCGUGUAUGAUUCCACUAACAUGAAGUACUUACAGCAUUCAAAUUCAUAAGGACACAAAGUAGAAUGGUGGUUUCCAGGGGCUUGGGGGCAAAGGGGAACAGAGAGUUAUUGCUUAAUGGUUAUACAGAGUUUGGGGAAGAUGAAAAUGUUUUAGAGAUAUGUUGGUUAUGGUUGCACAACAAUGUGAGUGUACUUAAUGCCACUAAACUCUACAUUUAAAAUGGCUGAAAUGUUACAUUUUCUGUUACAUAUAUUUCAUCAUAAUUGGAACAAUGUUUUUAAAGCUAAAAAAAAAAAAAGUCUAGCAGGAGAAGAACCCACAGGUAGCACAAACCCAAGUCCUUGGAGGAGGCUAGACACUGUGACUAAGCAAAUCACAUUCAUAUACCAGAUCAAGGGGCAGGGAAUGGGGCCCAACACUGAGGUCAGGAGCUGGUUGGUGUUAGAACAGAUGAUUCAAGGGAUUCGCUAAAGGAUUCUCUUUGUUGCCUGACUUUAGUGCAUUGCAGGGGUGAGUCAGACUCCAGGAUGCAAAAUCAGAGCAGAUAAGGGUUUUCCUUCUUCUUUUUCUCCCUCUCUUCAAGAAUAUUCAGUGGAGAUUUUAAACAGCCUAGAAUUCUCUAGUAAAGUGGUUUGGGGAAUAGAAUUAUAGACUUCAUCCUCUAAGCCCAUUGAAUUCUUCCCCAUCAUAAGCAGAGCCAGAUACAAGUGAGCACAUAACUUCUCAUGUUAGUGAGAAGCUAUUGAUUAUGGCUGGGACAUACGGCAAAACCAACAUUUCUCUCUCUAAUGCUAGUGUUGGGAGCUUUCAAAUCUAGAAGGACCAGCUGUGGUAUAUAGACAUCAGAAGAGGGGUGGUUAAGGUAGGGAGCCCCUAGAGCAAGUAAAAGUUAUAAAUCUAGGCAGGCAGUCAGAGUCAGGGGUGUUCCCAGGAGAGUUAUUAGAUCUCCAGCAAGGAAACACAGAUCAUGGGUCCAAGGAAGAGCCAGAGGGAGUGGAGUUUUAAAGAAGCCAGACUUUCGGUGCUGGUGUGUUUCAUGCUCUGUAUCUUUUCUCUCCUGUACCUCAUCUUGGUUCUUUGAAGGCUUUCUGGGUUUAAGGGAAUGUCUCCAGUUUGGGGAAAUGCUGGGUCCACUUUCUGCACUCUUUCUUGGGAGAGAAGAAAGAAAAACAACCCAAUAAAGAGAGAAUGACCUAAGAGAUAUCUCAAAAGACCAGGGACCAAAAGCGGAGAUUCCCAAAAAAACAUUCUGAGAAAGCAGAAAUAGUCAACGCUUUGCCCUUCCAUGGGAAGUUCCACUCUCUGAACGUGUUGGUCACUGGUUUGCUUUCUUCUCAGGGGUGACACAAGGCAUGCAGAAACCCUCGAGGUCCCCUGGAGGGCAGAGUAAACCAUCAACAACAGGUAGUCAGAGCCCAGCCUUAUGGUCUGGAAUUAAGCAUCUAGAAGGAUAGGGAUGACAGGGGGAGGGCAAGAACAGUUAGGACCUCGCUUCUGGAGUAGCUAGAAAAACAUGGAGAGAUGGAAACAAACCAAGGACUGGGACAUGAGGGAAGACAAGCUAGAAGCCCACUUGCCGGGACCAAUUUAUCACAUUAAUAUGGACUAGCCAAGAGGCUGACAAUGCUGUGUCCUUUUGGAGCAAUUAAAGAAAUUCCUGACUGACUCUAACUCAGGAGCAUCUGAAAAUGACCUGGAACCGGAAGACAGUAAAGGUCAUAAAUGAUGUACCUUUUACAUCUGGCAGAGGGCCAGGACAGUUCUGGGGUUCAUAUUUCUCUCCUUCUCUACUCUGAGGUUUAUACGGCCCCCCCACCGCCCCCAAGGUAAGUGUUUCUAAAGUUCUCAUGGAUUUCCUGUUAGAAUCCAACAAGUUGCAUUUACUGCUUUUCAAUCUUCAGCAUCUUCUUUGUGGCUGGGGUAAAGAAGCUCACUGUGGACUCUCAUUCAGUCUUGGGUGCAUUGGGCAACCUCUGGGAAAAGCACUGCUCUGAUGAACAGGGGAAUGAAUGACCACUGCCACACAGGCAGGUUUGGGGAGCUGCAGGCCAUCCUGUUCGGUGCUGGUGUGCUAGCUAUGGGGGUAAACAAAGGCAAAGAGGUUCUCAGGUCGGGGUGGUGGGUGGAUAGAGAGAGGAAUGUGAAAGAGAGAGAUCUAAACAGAAAAGCUUGCCAGAAAUUCAGAAAAAAAAAACCCACCUUUUAAUUCUGUAGUUCCCAAUAUUCACAGCUGUUAUAAAGCUCACAUUUGGGCUAAUUCCACAAGUUAUUAAUCAUCCACUGCUCGCUAUAUUGGACUUGUGGAUCACAUCAGAGCUCCACAAGCAAUUAAAAGUCCUCCUUUGCUUGUGAAAUGGCCUAACUAUAAAUCUCAGGAGGGUCAGCCCUGUUCUUCACCUGAGAUACCUGGAAGUCAUGCUGACCUCCACUCAUCCAUCCCAUGAACAGGUCGAAGGAUUUGGCAACAUGCUGAACAAGCUUUGUCCUGGGUCCUUGGGAGGGGUUGGAGGUGGGGCGAGGCAGUACUAUGGUCUCUUUCAUAAGUAAACCUUUGCAGUCUCUAAUAUUUUAUACUAUCUCUUUCAUUCACACUUAAAAUAGUAUGAGGAACCUACUUCGUGUCCUGCCAUGCCAGGCAUGGAUGAUUCUGAGAUGAAUAAAACACAGUCCUUGCCCUGGGGAAGCUAAUGGUCGGGGUAAGAAACAGGCACGUCAAAGCUUACAAUUUAGUGUCAUCGUUGCUGUACAGAUGGAGGCACUAAGUCCUGUGCGGUCAUGACAAAGGAUGCAAGUAACUCUACGUGUUGGGCCAUAAGAAAAGGCUUUGUAGAGAGAAGGUCUAUGCAACUCAGGCUUUUACCAGUACAAGGGAUUUCAGCAGGAGAAAAGUCUGGAGGGAGAAGCUAUGAAGCAGAGGGAACCACAGUGCACACAGAGGCAUGGAAGAUUCCCGAAGACAGUGGCUGCAGCAGAGGGUGUCUGGCAAGAGAGGAUGGAGUUGAGGCUGGAAAGCUGCAGUGUAGGAAGAGGUUGUUGCCAUGUGUGUAUAUUUUCUGCAGAAGAAAAGAAAAGCACUACUUCUAGGGUGAUAUUAUGUUGUAUGUAGAGAAAACUCUGGGACACCAUGCAGAAGUGGGAUGUGGGAUAGAAAACUUAGGCUGGAGAACUGAUGCUAUUAACUGUAAAUUCCAUUUCAUUAUCAGCAACAAAUAUUUAUGCAGCCUCUGGAGGGAAGGAAGUCCCACAGUCAGUGAUGAGUGGAAGAUACAGAGGCCAAACAAAAGGCACAGUCCUUGAGUCAUUGUGUUUGCAAUUUAAGAUGCACACACUGGGAUGAAACACAAGAGAAUGAAUAGUGAGACAGAUGUAACGCUUUUGCUAAACAACUCUUAUCUACAAAGCUUUGCUAUGCUUUUGUAUUUUGUUGGCAUCUUAGCACAUUGGCUUUCAAAUGUUUUUGACCAUAACCAAAAGUUAGAAAUAUAUUUUCAUGCCAUGAUCCAGAAUCCAUAAAAAAAUUUCACCGAGUACUAUUGAGAUACACUCUGAUAUUUUACAGGCUAUUACGUUUUAAUUUUUUUUUAAUGCUGGUUUCUGACCCUCUAAAUUGAUUCUGUGACCCACUGUUGGGUUAUAACUGUUGGCUUGAAAAUUCCGGCUUUCCCAUGUCUUGGAGGGGGAAAUGUUGGAGGAAAUGGAACAGAUGGGGGAGUGAAAGAGUGAGCGUGACUGCAGUGAGGGAAGGGACCGCAUGAGCAAUUGCCACAUCAAAUUCCCAUGACCAAAGAGGGCACUAAAUGAACAGGGCCCAGCCUGGGCCACAUAGUGAGACUCUGCCUCUACAAAAAAAAAAUAUCUAUCUAUCUAUCUAUCUAUCUAUAUAUA
This 6033-nucleotide long non-coding RNA is filed under the name Homo sapiens (human). Its description in RNAcentral is "HSALNT0121278". Lineage: Eukaryota; Metazoa; Chordata; Mammalia; Primates; Hominidae. The record is from RNAcentral.